GCUUAGAAGCAGCCACUCAUUUAAAGAGUGCGUAAUAGCUCACUGGUCGAGUGAUUGUGCGCCGAAAAUGUACCGGGGCUAAACCUGCCACCGAAGUCUUGGAAUUCAGUUUACUGGAUUGGUAGAGGAGCAUCGUGCAUGGGCUGAAGCAUGACCGGAAGGACAUGUGGACUGUGCACGAGAGAGAAUGCCGGCAUGAGUAGCGAGAGCAGAGUGAGAAUCUCUGCCGUCGAAAGCCUAAGGUUUCCUGAGGAAGGUUCGUCCCCUCAGGGUAAGUCAGGACCUAAGCCGAGGACGAAAGUCGUAGGCGAUGGACAACAGGUUGAUAUUCCUGUACCACCUUGACACGUUAUACGAUGCAGUGACACAGAAGGAUAGGCAAAGCGGGUUGAUGGUAGAACCCGUCCAAGCACUGAGGGUGCAGCGUAGUGAAGUACGCGCUGUGUAAGCCUGGGGUGUGAUGGGGACAGAAAAUAAGUAUGGAAGUUGCUGAAUUCACGCUGGCGAGAAAAGCUGCUAAGGAGUGUUAUUGGUGCCUGUACCGCAAACCGACACAGGUAGGCGAGGAGAGAAUCCUAAGACGAGCGGGAGAACCCUUGUUAAGGAACUCGGCAAAAUGACCCCGUAACUUUGGGAGAAGGGGUGCCUCGAAAGAGGCCGCAGUGAAUAGGCCCAAGCGACUGUUUAGCAAAAACACAGGUCUGUGCCAAGUCGAGAGACGAUGUAUACAGGCUGACGCCUGCCCAGUGCCGGAAGGUCAAGGGGAAGUGUUAGGGCAACCGAAGCACGGAACUUAAGCCCCGGUGAACGGCGGCCGUAACUAUAACGGUCCUAAGGUAGCGAAAUUCCUUGUCGGGUAAGUUCCGACCCGCACGAAUGGCGUAACGAUUUGGGCACUGUCUCAACAAGGGACCCGGCGAAAUUGUAGUAUGCGUGAAGAUGCGCAUUGCCCGCGAUAGGACGGAAAGACCCCGUAGAGCUUUACUGUAGCUUGGUAUUGGAUUUUGGCAGCGCUUGUACAGGAUAGGUGGGAGGCUAGGAAACGAGGACGCCAGUUUUCGUGGAGCCACCGUUGGGAUACCACUCUUGUGUUGCUGGAGUUCUAACGUCGCGCGGUUAUCCCGGUGACGGACAGUGCCAGGUGGGCAGUUUGACUGGGGCGGUCGCCUCCUAAAAGGUAACGGAGGCGCCCAAAGGU
RNAcentral lists this ribosomal RNA (1198 nucleotides) under metagenome. RNAcentral's name for it is "bacterial LSU rRNA". It matches the Rfam family "Bacterial large subunit ribosomal RNA", at positions 1104 to 2317 of the family's 2925-position model. The record is from RNAcentral.